AUGGAGACAAGUACCCAGGAGUGUUAUUAUUGGGGACACUGCGUUCUGAGGAAAAAGCCGAAUUCCUUUGCUUAUAAGGAUUUUAAGGUGACCUUUAACAAGGAGCCAGCUGGGUUCUUAGUUCACAGUACUUUAGAACAUUUUAAUUCCGAGGUUUUGAAAGACCAGAUGGAUCCAGAGAGAAAUACUUCUAGGCAUAGUUCCCAGAAAGAGAAACCGGAGCUCCCCUGCCGUUUGGGGUCGGGGAUCAGACGCUGGCCCAGUUCUCCUCUUCCACCAGCUUUUCGGCCCCAGAUUCAGGAAAUCCCUGCCGUUCCGGAGGUCCUUUCCCACACUGCCUCUCUGCUUCCUCCUUCAAGGAAAUGAGGAGACCCAGGUCCGGGGAUAAUGCAAGAACGACGCCACUGCUCUGAAGCGGGGGAGCGAGUCCAACUGACGACAAAAGUCAUCGGCACCUGACUUCUCGCGAGACUUCCUCUGCACAUUCAUUAGAAGGCUGCGCAAACCCAGCCCUGCCUGUGGCACGUGACCCUCAGGUAGCUCUCUGAAUGUGAAGGUGCUUUAAUGUAGAUCCCUAGGAAGACCUAUGAGGACGAGAAACUGGGGGAGGAGUUAAAGAGGGAGGAGAGGAGCUGGAAUCAGCAGCCCCAGAUAGAGGGAUUAGCUAAGGACAAAGGAAAGAGAGGUAGGUUUCCAGAUGUGAGAAAUGGGAGCCUGAGGGAGAUAAAAAACAAAAAACAAAACAAAACAAAAAAACAAGGAGAGGGGAGGAAGCAGCUGAAGCUGCAAAUCAAUUAACAGGGAGAUAUUCGGCUUUUUUUUUUUUUUUUUUUUUUGACAGCUAAGCCUCUGACCACAUAGCCUGGGGCAGAAGGAAGGUUGGCAAGUUAAUCAAGGAUGGAGUCAAAAAGCAGUUCCUUAAGGUAGCCAUCAGCCAUCAUGUCUCCAGUGAGGGAUGCUCAGCCUGUUAUGGGCCUCAAAGCUAUGUUGAGUGACAGCAGAUGCCGUGAGAAGAGCACAGGCUUUGAGCUCCUAAAGAGCUGGGUUUCAUCUCAUGCCGUCGCCUUUUUCUUGGUUACCUUGGCAAGGUAGGAGUGUUUUCCAAACUUAGUUUUCAAAUUGGUAGGAUGAGGGUGUCCGUACCUCAGAAGGUUAUACGGGUGUGGGGGCGGGGGGGGGGAUUAAAUCAAAAUCAAGGGAGACCUAGCUAAGCACCUGCCAUGGUGCUGGUGGGCACACAGCAGCCUUCAUAACUGUGAAUUCACAAUCGCCACAGCUGCUCCUUUUGCCACCAAGUGUUUGAGCCAUAAGAAGUGAAUAGAAGGGUCAUCCCAGUUAAGACCCAUGUGACAUUCAUUGAUUGCUG
RNAcentral lists this long non-coding RNA (1366 nucleotides) under Sus scrofa (pig). RNAcentral's name for it is "lncRNA (ENSSSCG00050058247.1)". Lineage: Eukaryota; Metazoa; Chordata; Mammalia; Artiodactyla; Suidae. The record is from RNAcentral.